RNAcentral lists this unclassified non-coding RNA (375 nucleotides) under soil metagenome. RNAcentral's name for it is "partial contains 5.8S ribosomal RNA, internal transcribed spacer 2, and large subunit ribosomal RNA". The stretch from base 1 to 121 matches the Rfam family "5.8S ribosomal RNA", at positions 35 to 154 of the family's 154-position model. The record is from RNAcentral.
GAUGAAGAACGCAGUGAAAUGCGAUAAGUAAUGCGAAUUGCAGAAUUUCCGUGAGUCAUCGAAUCUUUGAACGCACAUUGCGCCCGCCAGUAUUCUGGCGGGCAUGCCUGUUCGAGCGUCAUUUCAACCCUCAAGACCCCUUCGGGGGACUUGGUGUUGGGGACCGGCACAGGGGCCUGCCUGCUUGUCUUGCAGCGCCCUCGCCGCCCCCGAAAUGAAUUGGCGGCCUCGUCGCGGCCUCCCCUGCGUAGUAGCACAACCUCGCAACGGGAACGUGACGGCGGCCACUGCCGUAAAACAACCCAAUUUUAUUAGAGUUGACCUCGAAUCAGGUAGGAAUACCCGCUGAACUUAAGCAUAUCAAUAAGCGGAGGA